CUCCUUUCACCCUUUUCAUAUGUUCUUUUGUUUUGCUUUGUUUUGUUCAGGACAGGACUUGCUUGCAAACUUGCCUUAAACGUGUGAUCUUCAGGUCCAAAGUGUUGGCUCUGCAGGUCUUCCUGCCUUCGUAUCCAGUUUGUGCCCUGCAGAACAUAUUCAUCUUAUAUUAACCUACUGGAGGGAUGGAUCCUAACACAGAAGAGGGUGACACUGGGGGAGGACUGGAAUGAGACAGCAUUCUCAGAAUUGCUCCUGGUGGUCACAACAGACGUGUUCAUUUGAAGACCGGUAGAUGAAAAGAACCCAGAAGAAAAUGGUGCCCUUGCAGCAUCUAAAAAACAGCAAGAAGACUCCAAGUUCACAACACUAUAUUGGGAAAUGUAGCAUUAUCCAAAAUUAACUCAUAUGCGCACUGCCUUAGUGUCGCUGUUGUUGUUCCUGCUGCUCAGGAAUGAAACACUCAGACAAAAACAUUUUACUGGAGAAAAAAAAAUGAUUUAUUUUAGUUGACAUUUCAAGUCACAGUUCCUCAUGGUAGGAGAGUCAAGGUGGCAGGAGCUUGAAGCAGCUGGUCACAUGACAUCCAUAUCUGAGAAGUGCUGUCCAGGGAAUAAUAGUUCUGGCCACAAUUAAGCUGAGUGCCCACUGGACAUGGGGAGGGAUGCCUUUAAUCCCAGCACUCUAGAGGCAGAGGCGGCUUGUCUCCAGGUUUGAGGCUAGCUUGGUCUACAGAGUAAGUUCCAGGACAGUCAGGUUACAGGGAAACCCUAUCUUAGAAAGCCAAAAAAAAUAUAAAAGAAAUUAAAAAACUAAGCAGAGUGUUCCCAUUCUAUUUAUUUAAUCAAGAUAAGCUAUGGCAGGACUGUCCAGAGAUUUAUCUACAUGCAAUGCUAGAUUCUGUCAAGUUGAGAGUUCACACUCACCCUCCAGAACACUAACCAAAUAAAAUAAAUGGCAAUGUCCUCUUGAAAAUGAAGUUAUCUCAUCAAUGAAAUCUGAUGAUUUAAAAGUUGUGAAAUACUAAAUGUGGUGAUGUCUUGUUUGUACUCUAAUAAAUAAAGCUUGCUGGAAGAUCAGAGGGUGAAGUAAGCCACUAGUUAAUUAGCCAUAGAAGUCUUGAGAUCUGUAAAUUGAUACAGGAAGUAAGAUGACUGGGCAGAGAGAGGAAUAUAAGGUAGGAGGAGACAGGAGUUUGGCCUCUUUUUUGGUCUGAGGAUUUUGUAGAGGUAAGAACUCUAGUGGCUAGCUGUUCAGCUUCUCCGAUCUUUCAGCCUUCACCCCCUAAUAUCUGACUCUGGGUUUUUUAUUAUUAAGACCAAUUAAAACUCAUGCUACAACUAAAUGUAAUGAGGAUGUAUUUUUAUAUUUAAGAACUUAUCUCUCUUUAUGUGUGAUAACAAUAUGAAAAAAGAAAGAAGCCAGGAAUUAAAAAAAAAAAAGGAGGACAUGGGAGAGAUGUAAGGGAAUUGGGGAAUGAAGAGAGUGUUUUAAUUAAAAAUAUUUUUUUAGGUUGUGAAAUGAAAGCUCACAUUGAAGCUAUUCAAUGAGCCUCUAGUCAUCUUGUCUCAGUCCAGUCACCACAUGGCCAAGGACCAGACCCAUGUGUUUAUAUGCAAUCUUUCCUCCUGGGCCUGCCCCUCUUUCCUUGCUUGUCCCAUUUUCACAAGUGCCUUUGCACAGGGGCUGGUGUGCCUUGCCUUUCCCAUGCCUUUGUGGUUUAAACAGAAAAGUGUAAUGUCCGUUAAGGCAGAGCUUUACUCAUAAAUUAUACCUGCCAGAUGGUGGGUUUCAGUUAACUAAGGACACAAAGCAACUUUUUUUCAGAAAAUAUUGUUUCUUUGUUGCCUGUGCCUUUUACAUAAUUCUAGCCAUCACAAUCAUUAACUUCUUACACCGUAUAAAAUUUUAUGAGCAAAGGAAUUUCAUUACAAUAUAAUGCUGGGUUAACAAUUUCAAAAUAAUAGCUAUGCUGCCUAAAUUAUGUCUGGUCAUUCAAGUAGAAACCAAAUGACACCAGGAUAAUAAACAGGCAGAAACCAGGUUGCUACAGACAGGGAAUGGGGGAUUAAUCUCCCAAUUAGAAGACAAAGAUUUCUGUAUACAUAAUACCAAAAUAACCAAUUUAAUGUGUUGAUUGAGUUUAGUUGUGUUUUAUAAUAUAAAGAAAAUGUAGACUGCCUGGUUCCCCCAUGUUUUUUGUCCUUCAGCCCAUUGUGUGGCAUCAUGCACACAAAAUCCAGCUGCAAUUUGGGUUGGUCUUCCAGGAAGGACUGUCUUAACUGAAAGUAUUUUUCUCAUUAACCAUGCAGUAGUGUCUGCACUAAUGAAUCACCUGACCACUUGGUUGAGUUUAGCAGUAAGGGUCUUUUUUUUAAUGGUCAUAGUUUAUACAGUGUACAUGAUACUCACCUAAAUUAGAAAACUUUGCAAAGAAACAAUGAGUUUUUUAAAAAGUUUUACCAAAUGAGUUUAUAUAUUUUAG
RNAcentral lists this long non-coding RNA (2485 nucleotides) under Cricetulus griseus (Chinese hamster). RNAcentral's name for it is "lncRNA (ENSCGRG00015032010.1)". Lineage: Eukaryota; Metazoa; Chordata; Mammalia; Rodentia; Cricetidae. The record is from RNAcentral.